CUACACACACUUCAUCUUCUGUGACUGCUCGUAUCCACUGUGCGGCUCUGGCCCACCACACACCCCCUGSGGGGGUGCGRGAUGGUGGCUGGAUCCGAAACAAACACGCCCACACGACACCAACCCCCCAGGGGUUGGCCGGUGUGGGAGUUAUAUCCACAGUUUUU
Molecule: unclassified non-coding RNA, 167 nt
Filed under: Acidipropionibacterium jensenii
Lineage: Bacteria; Bacillati; Actinomycetota; Actinomycetes; Propionibacteriales; Propionibacteriaceae
Source: RNAcentral